GCAACAUCAAGAGAGACAGCUUUCAAAGAAACAAAUACAAGACAACACUGCCAGAAGCUUAUAUUCAAUAGAGUAAAAGGAAACAAAAGUAUCAAUGUCAUAAAAAAGCAUGUUAUGGUAAUGUCUUUCAGUUUCAAAUUGUCAUAUUUGGCAAUCAUCUUAUGUGGUUUUUGCCCUUUUCUCAGAACAAAUUCUUUUUAAAGUACAUUUUCAGUGCAUUAAUAAAAUCAUAUGUGCUUCUAUUUACAACUUUGCAUCUUAUUUGGCUGACUUUUUAGCUACUAAGAUAUUUCAUAAAUUGUAACGUAAAGAAGCAAAAAAAGUAACUAUGCAACAUUAAAUUUGAAUAAAAAAAAUGUGCCUAAGUGCCCGCAUUCAUAGCAAGAUAAUCUCCAUAAUGAUCUAAUUAAGUAAGCAAUCCUCGUU
RNAcentral lists this unclassified non-coding RNA (426 nucleotides) under Hevea brasiliensis (rubber tree). Lineage: Eukaryota; Viridiplantae; Streptophyta; Magnoliopsida; Malpighiales; Euphorbiaceae. The record is from RNAcentral.